RNAcentral lists this ribosomal RNA (519 nucleotides) under uncultured bacterium. Its description in RNAcentral is "partial 16S ribosomal RNA". It matches the Rfam family "Bacterial small subunit ribosomal RNA", at positions 28 to 507 of the family's 1533-position model. The record is from RNAcentral.
GACGAACGCUGGCGGCGUGCCUAAUACAUGCAAGUCGAGCGAGUCUGCCUUGAAGAUCGGAGUGCUUGCACCCUGUGAAACAAGAUACAGGCUAGCGGCGGACGGGUGAGUAACACGUGGGUAACCUGCCCAAGAGAUCGGGAUAACACCUGGAAACAGAUGCUAAUACCGGAUAACAACAGAUGAUGCCUAUCAACUGUUUAAAAGAUGGUUCUGCUAUCACUCUUGGAUGGACCUGCGGUGCAUUAGCUAGUUGGUAGGGUAACGGCCUACCAAGGCGAUGAUGCAUAGCCGAGUUGAGAGACUGAUCGGCCACAUUGGGACUGAGACACGGCACAAACUCCUACGGGAGGCAGCAGUAGGGAAUCUUCCACAAUGGACGCAAGUCUGAUGGAGCAACGCCGCGUGAGUGAAGAAGGGUUUCGGCUCGUAAAGCUCUGUUGUUGGUGAAGAAGGACAGGGGUAGUAACUGACCUUUGUUUGACGGUAAUCAAUUAGAAAGUCACGGCUAACUACGUG